CCAAGAUUCCGAAAUUCCAGAUUCCGUGUUUUACACCUUACCAACAACAUACAUACAUAGUAUAAUGUUGCACAAUUUCCGGUCUGAUCAAGGCUGCCACUCGUAGGGGGAUUCCCCUACAGUAGGGGAUUAUGACAUCUUGUAGGGAGUGGGGAAUACCUACGGGGAGAAAGGGUAAUCUGUAGGGGAGCGUAGGGGAUUUCUUCACGGUUUGAAUUGAAAAAAAAUUGUGUGUCUGUUUAUGGUAUUAUGAAUUACAAAAUGGAACUAGCACUAUUGAACUGCAGGAUAAUCAGGAUUUUUCAUGGAAACAACUAGAAAUUUAGAUUUGAAUUGAAUGUGGAAGCACUGGAAUAUGUGAUAUAAUAACUCCACGUCUCCGGUCUCCACGACAGUGCUUCCAUUUUCAAGGAAAUUUCCUUUUCUAAGGAAAUUCUAGUGUCGAAAAGGAAAAUCUAAGGAAGAGAAAAAAUCUAAGGAAAUCUAAGGAUUUUUUCCCAACAACUUAAAUAUUCAUCCAAGUGCAUUAGUGCAGAAGAAUGUUUCGCUAUUUCUUGAAUUUUUGAGUGAAUUUGAG
Non-coding RNA from Paramuricea clavata, 577 nucleotides. Lineage: Eukaryota; Metazoa; Cnidaria; Anthozoa; Malacalcyonacea; Plexauridae. The record is from the annotation of a GenBank genome assembly.